GCCAUAGAAUUCGUCCUCUUCUCCAUUAGCUUCUUCAGUACUGUAAUCAUUGUUCCAAACUGGUUUAUCUUCUUUUGGUGCAUCUUCUUCAGAGCCCUCAGGUUCCAAAAGGCAUUCUUCUUUGCUGGUUUUCUGUGAAUUUUUCCAUAUUGGGUUAAAGAUGUUUCCUAAAUCUAAACUAAAUCUUCCAUAAAUAUCUCGUAGAAUAUUUUCUCCCACGUUUUUCUCCUUCUCACACGAUCUUUAUCUCUUCGUUUUUUGUGUGUUCUCUCUUCUUUAUUCACAAAAUCAUCUCUUCUCUCUAUCAAUACAACAUGGUUCUAAUCUAUGUUAAAUUUGGUGAAUGGAUGUCUAGUUGCAGUGAAGAGUGGAGUUUCGUAGUAGACAAAGAAAGGUGUGGUCGAAUGGUAACAUUAGAAACUACUAGUCCAUUAGAAACUACUACUCUAUCUGCAGAGGACAAUAAAAUAGAGACGCACUCUUUUGAACAGUGUGGAAGGCUUUCAUUAUUAGAUUGGGAAAGAUGAUGAAUGUAAUUUCAGAGAUUUUUGUCAAAAAAGUAAUAAUAAUCAAUGUUGUUGAGAUCAAUUCACAAUGUAAGAUGAGAUCACAAAAUAAUAUAUUCAUUAUAUUCUGCUUCAUCUUGAUUUUCAUAUUCAAGAUCAGCUCCGCCAUAGAAUUCGUCCUCUUCUCCAUUAGCUUCUUCAGUACUGUAAUCAUUGUUCCAAACUGGUUUAUCUUCUUUUGGUGCAUCUUCUUCAGAGCCCUCAGGUUCCAAAAGGCAUUCUUCUUUGCUGGUUUGCUGUGAAUUUUUCACUUGGUCACCAACAACAACUGGUUCUCCAACUUAGUCAUCUUUGGAGAGUUCUC
This 870-nucleotide long non-coding RNA is filed under the name Brassica napus (rape). RNAcentral's name for it is "long non-coding RNA (BNAP_LNC014526)". The record is from RNAcentral. Lineage: Eukaryota; Viridiplantae; Streptophyta; Magnoliopsida; Brassicales; Brassicaceae.